GGCCUUUUGAUAUUAAUUUAAGGUCGUGCCUGCUCAAUGAUUAAUUAAAUAGCCGCAGUAUACUGACUGUGCAAAGGUAGCAUAAUCAUUAGUUUUUUAAUUGAAAGCUUGUAUGAAAGGUUUGAUGAAAAAGGAACUGUCUCUGUUUGAAUUUUAGAGAAUUUUAUUUUUAAGUGAAAAAGCUUAAAUGAAGAUUGGGGACGAGAAGACCCUAUAGAGUUUAAUAUUUUAUUAGUUAAUAAAUUGUAGUAUUGUUUAAAUUUAAUGAAAUAAGAUAUUUUGUUGGGGUGAUAGAAAAAUUUAUAAAACUUUUUUUUUAUUUAAACAAUGAUUUUUGAAUGUAUGAUCUUAUAUUUUAGAUUAAAAGAUUAAAUUACCUUAGGGAUAACAGCGUAAUAUUCUUUAGAGUUCUUAUCGAAAGGAAUGAUUGCGACCUCGAUGUUGGAUUAAAAUAGGUGGGUGGUGGAGAGGCUACUAAACUAAGUCUGUUCGACUUUUAAAAUUUUACAUGAUCUGAGUUUAGACCGGCGUGAG
This 534-nucleotide ribosomal RNA is filed under the name Torneuma sp. JJA-2010. RNAcentral describes it as "partial 16S ribosomal RNA". It matches the Rfam family "Bacterial large subunit ribosomal RNA", at positions 1832 to 2625 of the family's 2925-position model. Lineage: Eukaryota; Metazoa; Arthropoda; Insecta; Coleoptera; Curculionidae. The record is from RNAcentral.